RNAcentral lists this unclassified non-coding RNA (1416 nucleotides) under Hevea brasiliensis (rubber tree). The record is from RNAcentral. Lineage: Eukaryota; Viridiplantae; Streptophyta; Magnoliopsida; Malpighiales; Euphorbiaceae.
GAUAAAAGUGGCAUUACAUUAGGUAGUCAUAGGGUUGAGCAGAAAUUGGUUUUAGCUAAAAAAUAAACCGAAGUGAUUUAAUUCGGUUUUUUGGUAAAUUGGUUCAAUUUUGGUUAUUAUUGAAAAAAUAUUCAGUGGGUUCGGUUAGUUCAUUAGAAAAACCGAACUAACCAAACCAUGUCUUAUGCUGUGUCGUUUUUGGCUGCCUAUAUAUUAGAAUCCCUGAUUUUUUCACUCCCUCCCUCAUACCCCAAAUUUAUUUUCACGAUUCCCUCCCCUUCCUUUGCAGUUACAAAUUUUCACGCCUCCCUCAGACCUCAAUUUUGUUUCGCGCCUCCAGAUCUUAGUUCUAUUUCACACCUCUUUGUCCUCUCAUUCUCUUUUAUUUCCCUCUUGCAGAGUUGUAGUUGCUUGUUCCCUUCUAGUUUACGACCCCCUCUUUGUCCUCAUUCUCCUCUCCCCCUGUUUCUCACAAUUGCUUGCCUCCUAGACUUGUUCUCCUGCUUCCGAAUCUCAACCUUUUCCUCACUCCUCAAGCCUUCUGGUUCAAGGCAUCAGCCUCCCUUGCUCUUCCUAGCUCCUGCAUGUCCAAGUCCCUAACGAAGACAGUUCUUUCUCUCUCCAUAGAUAUAUCCAUAUGUAGGGUUUAUGAAGUGAGCUAUGCCUGGAUUUAUGUGAUUGUGUAAUGAUUUAGUGAAAUGCGAUUGUGGAUUUUAAAUGAAAUUUCUGUUAUUUUGUGUAAUUGUAUAUCAAAUUUGUGAAUUUGUCGAAGAAUCUGGAGAGUUGUUUAGAUGGAAUUGUAAUUUGAGUUAAUUGUUCUCUUCUUUUAAUCUCUUUUGAUUCUAUUUUUGGUGACUUGUGUUGAUGAUGAAUUAUAUUUGAUUUCUUGAGAUUGUACUUUGGCAAUUGAGUAUAUGGAGAAAUUUUGUUUCCGUAAUUGUGGGGACACGGACGGUAUAUAGAACUGUUCAACCGAACAGAAUCAAACUGAAUUUUUUUUAUUCGGUUUGAUUCAGUUUUACUGUAUAGUUUGGUUCGGUUCACAAAAUUAUCCUUUUUUGGUUAUUGUGGCUUGGUUUGGCCCGAAACUGAAAUGACCAUUGCAUAGCUCUGGUUAGUCACGAAGGGUCUGAUCUCUUUAGUUGCUGAUUGGCUCAUUUCAUUCAUGAUCACUGAUUGGAGCUAUGGCAAUUCUUCUAUAGCCAUGGUGGUCAUCUAUUAGUCAACUGUUCUGAGUUAAUAUCCUUCUUUGGUUGGUAGACUUGGUUAAGUUAUUCUGAGAAGAAGGAGACAUCAGCUUCCUUCUUUAUCAGACAAAAUAUUUGUUUUUCCUUUUCUUUAUAGAUAUCAGUGUGACAAGCCACUUAUCUUUGUCUACUUUGUUACCUUUUAAAGGAAUCUGAAAGAAGUGGACCU